RNAcentral lists this long non-coding RNA (1683 nucleotides) under Cyanistes caeruleus (blue tit). RNAcentral describes it as "lncRNA (ENSCCEG00000012005.1)". The record is from RNAcentral. Lineage: Eukaryota; Metazoa; Chordata; Aves; Passeriformes; Paridae.
CCCCAAACAGUUACGUGGUUCACCUGUGCCUCAUUUUCCUUUUGAAAGCCAGGUGCUUCUUUCUUGUGCCAUCCCCAAUGUUCAUCGCUCCCCUCGAGGUGGUAGCCAGGGGAGUCCUGGUCUCAGCCUGCUGUCACCUAGCGAGGGACUGUCAUGGCCCCUGGAUGCUUCUGGAAGUGCGUUCAGGAAGAAAGAGUUCCCUAUGAUAUCCUGUUUUCCUCGGUUUACAAAGACAACUCAGUGUCGAGGGAACUGAAGACUGGGGUGUGCUGGACUAACACAAAUUUAACUGAAGCCAAGAAUGCCCUGGUUUGGCUCUGGAAAGAGUAAUAAGCAGCCAAGGACAUUUGGAAGGCCAAAUCUAAACCAGUACGGGAUGUCUGUGCCCCACAGAGUAAGAGCAGGCUUUGAAGCUGAGGGUCAGAGCUGGACAAAUCACCCUGCAGAGCAGGGAAUGGGCUGGAUGUGAAAUGGGUGGGCUCUGCUCUUUGCAGCAAGACCAGCAGAAGUUUCUGUUCAGAGCUGACUUGAUGUGGGAGGGGCAGAGCCUGGAGGGGAAAGGAAGGAAGAAGAGCUUUCUCCUUGCUUUAGUUUUUCCAUGUGGUUCUGCACUCAGGUGAAGAGAUCUGGUCCUGAAUAUUCAGCUAUUUCAGUGGUCUACAGUCAAAGGCAGACUAUUUGAAAUCCUAAAUCAAAACAAAUACAAACUGUAUUUUUUAUUGCUUUCUUAUAAUAGGGUAUAAUUCAAGGUCAACCACCUUUUUCACUAUAUGUUUGUCAAAAUAUUAGACUUCCUUUGUUACUAUUUCUUGUAAUGGGUCUAAUUAAUUAUGUGGUUUUAUAAAGAGGGAGAUGCUUUCUGGCUCCAUUUGAACUGCAUACUGAUGAAAAGUAACAGUGUAACACUUAAGCUCUAUUUUGAUGGUGUAAGUCAACACUUGUUAUCAGAGGAACUUUUUUUUAUUACAAAAGAAUUAAAAAAUUCUUUCAGACAUUAAGCAGAUGACACACAGCACCUUCUUUUUCCUUACACUCUUAUACGUUAACGUGUUUUGCUUUUCUUUGUGUUAACUGGAAAUUAAAAGCUGGCACACCCUUAUUUUGACUGUGCCUUUACUGUAAAUUUUAAGCACUUGAAGCAGUUGUCUCAUAAAUAAUGUUUUCUGCCAAGGAACUAUUUUAGGUGGAGUUUUUUGAACCCCUCCCCACCACUCUGACAAAUUCCUUAAACUUCUGAUAUCUAUUGGUGAUUGGUGAUAAAAAGAAUUUGCUGCUCUCAUUCUCACUGUUUAGUUCUUCUUAAGAUUGCAGUGCUAAACCUUUUAAAGGUCUAAUUUGACACACCUGAGCUAGGAGGCAUAAUUUUGGAUACUGGCUGUUUUAAUGAGCUGUGAAGGAAGAAAAUUGGCAUUAUAGAAUCAUAGAGUAAUUUGCACUGAAAAGGGCCUUAAAGAUUGUCUGGUUCCAACCCAGCCUGCCACAGGCAGGACACCUUCCACUAGAGCACAUUACAGGAAGACCCACCCAGCCUGGACUUGAAGACUUCCAGAUAUGGGACAUCAAUAGCUUCUCUGGGAAACCUGAUCCACUGCCUCACCACACUCCUAGUAAAAAAACUCCUUCCUAACAUCUAAUCCAAAUAUCUUUAUUAAUAAAAACCAUCCUCCUUUGUUAACCCCUACA